This 142-nucleotide small RNA is filed under the name Geobacteraceae bacterium. RNAcentral's name for it is "c-di-AMP sequence". It matches the Rfam family "c-di-AMP riboswitch aptamer (ydaO/yuaA leader)". From Rfam's summary of the family: This family represents a conserved RNA structure found upstream of the ydaO and yuaA genes in Bacillus subtilis and related genes in other bacteria. Lineage: Bacteria; Pseudomonadati; Thermodesulfobacteriota; Desulfuromonadia; Geobacterales; Geobacteraceae. The record is from RNAcentral.
AGAAAAUUGCAGCCGAGAUUCGUUCAUCCAAUGAACGAAUGCGGGGGAACCAGUCAACUGGGGCGCAUUCCGGUAUUUCCGGAUAGGGAACUUCCACUCCCGAGCCCGUCAGCUAACCUCGUAGGCAUCUGGAAGGGCGCGA